This 443-nucleotide ribosomal RNA is filed under the name uncultured bacterium. Its description in RNAcentral is "partial 16S ribosomal RNA". It matches the Rfam family "Bacterial small subunit ribosomal RNA", at positions 338 to 795 of the family's 1533-position model. The record is from RNAcentral.
CCUACGGGAGGCUGCAGUAGGGAAUCUUUCACAAUGGGCGAAAGCCUGAUGGAGCAACGCCGCGUGCGGGAUGAAGGCCAUCGGAUUGUAAACUGCUUUUAUCAGCGAGCAAUAUGAUGGUAACUUAUGCAUAAGGAUCGGCUAACUCAGUGCCAGCAGCCGCGGUCAUACGUAGGAUCCGAGCAUUAUCCGGAGUGACUGGGUGUAAAGAGUGGCGUAGGUGGCAUAAUGAGUAGCUAGUGAAAACUGGUGGCUCAACCAUUCAGACUAUUAGCUAAACUGUUAAGCUCGAGACCGUUAGGAGUAACGGGAAUUGCUAGUGUAGGAGGGAAAACCGUAGAUAUUAGAAGAAACACCAAUAGCGUAGGCAGGUUACUGGGACGGUUCUGACACUAAGGCACGAAAGCGGAGGGAGCAAACGAGAUUAGAUACCCCUUGUAGUC